This 690-nucleotide ribosomal RNA is filed under the name uncultured Acidobacteriota bacterium. RNAcentral's name for it is "bacterial SSU rRNA". It matches the Rfam family "Bacterial small subunit ribosomal RNA", at positions 15 to 715 of the family's 1533-position model. The record is from RNAcentral. Lineage: Bacteria; Pseudomonadati; Acidobacteriota.
GAUCCUGGCUCAGAAUCAACGCUGGCGGCGUGCCUCAGACAUGCAAGUCGAACGAUUAAACUUUCCUUCGGGAAAGAUAUAAAGUGGCGCACGGGUGAGUAACACGUAAGUAAUCUACCUUCGAGUGGGGAAUAACGUUCGGAAACGAACGCUAAUACCGCAUAAUGCAGCGGCAUCGCAAGAUGACAGUUGUUAAAGGAAUUUAUUUCGCUUGAAGAGGAGCUUGCGGCAGAUUAGCUAGUUGGUAAGGUAACGGCUUACCAAGGCUACGAUCUGUAUCCGGUCUAAGAGGACGGUCGGACACACUGACACUGAAUAACGGGUCAGACUCCUACGGGAGGCAGCAGUCGGGAAUUUUGGGCAAUGGGCGAAAGCCUGACCCAGCAACGCCGCGUGAAGGAUGAAGUAUUUCGGUAUGUAAACUUCGAAAGAAUGGGAAGAAUAAAUGACGGUACCAUUUAUAAGCUCCGGCUAACUACGUGCCAGCAGCCGCGGUAAUACGUAGGGAGCAAGCGUUGUUCGGAUUUACUGGGCGUAAAGGGCGCGUAGGCGGCGCGGUAAGUCACUUGUGAAAUCUCUGAGCUUAACUCAGAACGGCCAAGUGAUACUGCAGUGCUAGAGUGUAGAAGGGGCAAUCGGAAUUCUUGGUGUAGCGGUGAAAUGCGUAGAUAUCAAGAGGAACACCUGAGG